UGAGCAACCUACCGAACUGUGGGGGAUAGCCGGCCUAACGGCCGAGCAAUACCGCAUACGCUCUCAGGGAGGCAUUUCUUUGAGAGGAAACCUACGGGACAGAUCGAGGGGCUCGCGGCCUAUCAGCUAGUUGGCGAGGUAACGGCUCACCAAGGCAACGACGGGUAGCUGGUCUGAGAGGAUGGCCAGCCACAUUGAGACUGAGAUACGGCCCAGACUCCGUAGGGAG
RNAcentral lists this ribosomal RNA (229 nucleotides) under uncultured bacterium. RNAcentral describes it as "partial 16S ribosomal RNA". It matches the Rfam family "Bacterial small subunit ribosomal RNA", at positions 118 to 347 of the family's 1533-position model. The record is from RNAcentral.